GACGAACGCUGGCGGCGUGCUUAACACAUGCAAGUCGAACGCUGAAGCUUGGUGCUUGCACUGGGUGGAUGAGUGGCGAACGGGUGAGUAAUACGUGAGUAACCUGCCCUUGACUCUGGGAUAAGCCUGGGAAACUGGGUCUAAUACUGGAUACGACAUGUCACCGCAUGGUGGUGUGUAGAAAGGGUUUUACUGGUUUUGGAUGGGCUCACGGCCUAUCAGCUUGUUGGUGGGGUAAUGGCUCACCAAGGCGACGACGGGUAGCCGGCCUGAGAGGGUGACCGGCCACACUGGGACUGAGACACGGCCCAGACUCCUACGGGAGGCAGCAGUGGGGAAUAUUGCACAAUGGGCGGAAGCCUGAUGCAGCGACGCCGCGUGAGGGAUGACGGCCUUCGGGUUGUAAACCUCUUUCAGCACGGAAGAAGCGAAAGUGACGGUACGUGCAGAAGAAGCGCCGGCUAACUACGU
This 471-nucleotide ribosomal RNA is filed under the name uncultured bacterium. RNAcentral describes it as "partial 16S ribosomal RNA". It matches the Rfam family "Bacterial small subunit ribosomal RNA", at positions 28 to 506 of the family's 1533-position model. The record is from RNAcentral.